AAGUCGUAACAAGGUAACCGUAGGUGAACCUGCGGUUGGAUCAUUACCAAUAUAUUUUCUUUUUUUUCUUUUUUUUUCCCCCGCGGAAUUGUCUUGCUCGCGCAAGUCGCUCCUUGCUGGUAAAUUGACUUGUGUGUUUUUCACAUUUGUGGAAGCUGGCGAGAUGCCAGCGAAGGAUUUACGAAAAGCAAAGGAGCCAACGAGCGAGCGAGCGAGCAGAAGGGGGAAAAAAAGAAAAAAGAAAAUAGGUACCAACAUGUGAACCUACCUCACCGUUGCUUCGGCGGGUGGCCCGGGGCAACCCAGGCUGCGCCGGCCCCCCUCUUCGGGGGGCCUGGCAAGCCCGUCAGAGGACUGAAACCCUGUAAUUACUGGCCUCUCUGAGUAACUUAUACAAUAAGUCAAAACUUUCAACAACGGAUCUCUUGGUUCUG
RNAcentral lists this unclassified non-coding RNA (434 nucleotides) under Schizothecium sp. Its description in RNAcentral is "partial internal transcribed spacer region". The stretch from base 1 to 46 matches the Rfam family "Eukaryotic small subunit ribosomal RNA", at positions 1786 to 1831 of the family's 1831-position model. Lineage: Eukaryota; Fungi; Ascomycota; Sordariomycetes; Sordariales; Schizotheciaceae. The record is from RNAcentral.